CCUCUGGAGUGUGCCCUAGGGACCAGUUUGUCCAUGCCCCUGCCUCCAGGCCAGUCACUAGGACCAACAGAUGUCCCAAGGAAGACACCGGCCAUGACUGCAUCCUGGAACCAUAUCAAACUGGCAGCACUUACUUCUCUGGACUUGUUUUUGUUUCACCAAAUUUGCUGGAUCUGUUGGCAAGUUUGAGUGAACAGUCUCAGACUGCAAAGCAAGUCAGCACUACCACAGAGGGAAUCCCAAACUCGCUGCUGAGAACAGAACAGCUGUGCCCUCGCCGACUGGGACCCGAGUGACAUCUACUGGAGCAAGCAGGGGCUGCACGUGAGCAGGCAGCCAUUCGGUCACUCCCCGUCAUUCCAACACAAUCGAAUUUGUGUAGAAAAUUUACAUGCAUCAUAGGCUAUUUAUGAAUAUAUGCACACGUAGAAAGAGGAAAAAUACGCUUGGAAAUGUCCAGGCCUCAGUUUCGCCAUUGAUAAAGACACAAUGUUGACCCAAAUUAAACCCUUUUCUGAAUUUAACACUGAGGAACACUUCCAGCCACCCCCGACCCCGAGUUCUCUGCAGUGGUAGCUAUUUUUCCAGGAUGUCCUGGCAUUGCGGCUGCCUUCUUCCCACCUGCCUCUGCUCCUGUGUCCCUCUCCA
This is a long non-coding RNA of Homo sapiens (human), 648 nucleotides long. RefSeq lists it as uncharacterized. NCBI's taxonomy places the organism in Eukaryota, Metazoa, Chordata, Mammalia, Primates, Hominidae. The transcript is spliced from 3 exons. The record is from RefSeq and is a predicted model, not a curated record.